This is a long non-coding RNA of Etheostoma spectabile (orangethroat darter), 394 nucleotides long. RefSeq lists it as uncharacterized. The transcript is spliced from 2 exons. The record is from RefSeq and is a predicted model, not a curated record. NCBI's taxonomy places the organism in Eukaryota, Metazoa, Chordata, Actinopteri, Perciformes, Percidae.
AGAUGAAGGCAUUUGGAAUAAAGGACGUUGCUCUUGUGGUGAUUGCGCUCAUCUCCAGCUCUUAAGCUAAACCUUCCCAUGUCAUUGCGAAGCGCUCAAUCAAGGAGGUCAGUAUUUACUUUGGAUAUAAUGAUGUAAAUAACAUAGUAUUUUCUUAAUUUAAACUACCAUUUUCUAAUCAACUAUCAAAGAUAAAAUAGAGAUGAAAUUGAAAUGUAGAUAAUUUGUGUACGCCCCAUCCUUGGCCCAUGUUACUGAGGUGCUCAUGAUCCUAAAGUAACUCAAGGACUUGCCUCAACAAAAUACUGCAACUACUAAACCAUGAUGUGAUCAUGCUCUGAUUGAAUAACUUGCUGGUUUAAUACAAAUAAAGCAAUGAAGAACCAAAGCUGUU